Molecule: ribosomal RNA, 403 nt
Filed under: uncultured Bacteroidota bacterium
Lineage: Bacteria; Pseudomonadati; Bacteroidota
Description: bacterial SSU rRNA
Rfam family: Bacterial small subunit ribosomal RNA
Source: RNAcentral
AACUUUUGGUGCUUGCACCGAAAGACGAGUGGCGAACGGGUGCGUAACGCGUAUGCAAUCUACCUUUUACUAGAGUAUAGCCCAGAGAAAUUUGGAUUAAUCCUCUAUAACAUCAUUAAUUCGCAUGAAUUUAUGAUUAAAGCUUCGGCGGUUAAAGAUGAGCAUGCGUCCUAUUAGUUAGUAGGUGAGGUAACGGCUCACCUAGACUACGAUAGGUAGGGGUCCUGAGAGGGAGAUCCCCCACACUGGUACUGAGACACGGACCAGACUCCUACGGGAGGCAGCAGUGAGGAAUAUUGGACAAUGGACGAAAGUCUGAUCCAGCUAUGCCGCGUGCAGGAUGACAGCCCUACGGGUUGUAAACUGCUUUUAUACAGGAAGAAAACCUUCGACGUGUCGAAGC